UGAAAAGCGUCAAAAUGGAGGUUUUGGUGAUAGUGGAGAAUGCGGGGGGGUGAAAAUAGCGAUUUUUGUUCAAUUCCUGGCAAUGGCGAUUUUUGGUGGGUCCCAAAACCACCGUUUUUUGCCCCAAAAUUGUUUACUGACACAAAGUCGUUUUUCCUCCGAAAAACGCCAUUUUGGGGCUCUAAAAUUGCACUUUUUUAAAUGAAAUGAGAAUUUUUGUGUACAGAUUGAGGCGAUUUGGGGACAAAGUGAGAAAGAAAACCCGAAUUUUGGUGCUAAAACGGUGAAAAAAAGCACUGCUAAAAAUCACCAUUUUCGGUCAGGACGGAUUGAGGGAUUACGGGUUGAAAAAGAGGAUUUUUGGGCAAAUUUCUGCCUCAAAACACACGUUUUUGGUUGGAAAAUUCUCUUUUUGAUGUUUUCCCCUUCAGCCUUUCUUUCGAUUCAAAACUUUGCAUUCUCUUCACAGAAAUUAUGAUUUUUGCAGGUUUUCUUUUCCCAAAAAUGGAUUUUCUGACACAAAAUCGUUUUUCCUUGGAAAAACGCCAUUUUGGGGCUCUAAAAUUGCACUUUUUUAAAUGAAAUGAGAAUUUUUGUGUACAGAUUGAGGCGAUUUGGGGACAAAGUGAGAAAGAAAACCCGAAUUUUGGUGCUAAAACGGUGAAAAAAAGCACUGCUAAAAAUCACCAUUUUCGGUCAGGACGGAUUGAGGGAUUACGGGUUGAAAAAGAGGAUUUUUGGGCAAAUUUCUGCCUCAAAACACACGUUUUUGGUUGGAAAAUUCUCUUUUUGAUGUUUUCCCCUUCAGCCUUUCUUUCGAUUCAAAACUUUGCAUUCUCUUCACAGAAAUUAUGAUUUUUGCAGGUUUUCUUUGCCCCAAAAAUGGAUUUCCUAAUACAAAUUCAUUUUUCCUCUGAAAAACGCCAUUUUGGGGCCAUAAAAUGGCAUUUUUUGUUAUAAAACAGUAUUUUUGUGUUCAGGUUGAGAUCAAGGAGAUGAUUUUGGGGCCAAAGUCAGAAACAAACCCCAAAUUUUGGUGCUAAAACAGAGAAAAAGACCACUGCUAAAAACCACCAUUUUCGGUCAGAGCGGAUCGAGGGAUUUGGGGGCAGAAAAGGGGAUUUUUGGGCAAAUUUCUGCCUUAAAAUGCAUGUUUUUGGACUGAAAAUUCUAUUUUUGAUGUUUCCAUCUUCAGUGCUUUUUUCGAUUCAAA
Molecule: long non-coding RNA, 1213 nt
Filed under: Gallus gallus (chicken)
Lineage: Eukaryota; Metazoa; Chordata; Aves; Galliformes; Phasianidae
Description: lncRNA (ENSGALG00010004114.1)
Source: RNAcentral